RNAcentral lists this transfer RNA (61 nucleotides) under Cavia porcellus (domestic guinea pig). It matches the Rfam family "tRNA", at positions 6 to 65 of the family's 71-position model. Rfam says of the family: Transfer RNA (tRNA) molecules are approximately 80 nucleotides in length. Their secondary structure includes four short double-helical elements and three loops (D, anti-codon, and T loops). Further hydrogen bonds mediate the characteristic L-shaped molecular structure. tRNAs have two regions of fundamental functional importance: the anti-codon, which is responsible for specific mRNA codon recognition, and the 3' end, to which the tRNAs corresponding amino acid is attached (by aminoacyl-tRNA synthetases). tRNAs cope with the degeneracy of the genetic code in two manners: having more than one tRNA (with a specific anti-codon) for a particular amino acid; and 'wobble' base-pairing, i.e. permitting non-standard base-pairing at the 3rd anti-codon position. Lineage: Eukaryota; Metazoa; Chordata; Mammalia; Rodentia; Caviidae. The record is from Rfam by way of RNAcentral.
UGUAGCUCAGUGGUAGAGCACUUGCCUAGCAUGCAGGAAAGCCUGGGUUCAAUCUCCAGCA